This 2893-nucleotide ribosomal RNA is filed under the name Escherichia coli. RNAcentral's name for it is "bacterial LSU rRNA". The record is from RNAcentral. Lineage: Bacteria; Pseudomonadati; Pseudomonadota; Gammaproteobacteria; Enterobacterales; Enterobacteriaceae.
ACUAAGCGUACACGGUGGAUGCCCUGGCAGUCAGAGGCGAUGAAGGACGUGCUAAUCUGCGAUAAGCGUCGGUAAGGUGAUAUGAACCGUUAUAACCGGCGAUUUCCGAAUGGGGAAACCCAGUGUGUUUCGACACACUAUCAUUAACUGAAUCCAUAGGUUAAUGAGGCGAACCGGGGGAACUGAAACAUCUAAGUACCCCGAGGAAAAGAAAUCAACCGAGAUUCCCCCAGUAGCGGCGAGCGAACGGGGAGCAGCCCAGAGCCUGAAUCAGUGUGUGUGUUAGUGGAAGCGUCUGGAAAGGCGCGCGAUACAGGGUGACAGCCCCGUACACAAAAAUGCACAUGCUGUGAGCUCGAUGAGUAGGGCGGGACACGUGGUAUCCUGUCUGAAUAUGGGGGGACCAUCCUCCAAGGCUAAAUACUCCUGACUGACCGAUAGUGAACCAGUACCGUGAGGGAAAGGCGAAAAGAACCCCGGYGAGGGGAGUGAAAAAGAACCUGAAACCGUGUACGUACAAGCAGUGGGAGCACGCUUAGGCGUGUGACUGCGUACCUUUUGUAUAAUGGGUCAGCGACUUAUAUUCUGUAGCAAGGUUAACCGAAUAGGGGAGCCGAAGGGAAACCGAGUCUUAACUGGGCGUUAAGUUGCAGGGUAUAGACCCGAAACCCGGUGAUCUAGCCAUGGGCAGGUUGAAGGUUGGGUAACACUAACUGGAGGACCGAACCGACUAAUGUUGAAAAAUUAGCGGAUGACUUGUGGCUGGGGGUGAAAGGCCAAUCAAACCGGGAGAUAGCUGGUUCUCCCCGAAAGCUAUUUAGGUAGCGCCUCGUGAAUUCAUCUCCGGGGGUAGAGCACUGUUUCGGCAAGGGGGUCAUCCCGACUUACCAACCCGAUGCAAACUGCGAAUACCGGAGAAUGUUAUCACGGGAGACACACGGCGGGUGCUAACGUCCGUCGUGAAGAGGGAAACAACCCAGACCGCCAGCUAAGGUCCCAAAGUCAUGGUUAAGUGGGAAACGAUGUGGGAAGGCCCAGACAGCCAGGAUGUUGGCUUAGAAGCAGCCAUCAUUUAAAGAAAGCGUAAUAGCUCACUGGUCGAGUCGGCCUGCGCGGAAGAUGUAACGGGGCUAAACCAUGCACCGAAGCUGCGGCAGCGACGCUGAUGCGUUGUUGGGUAGGGGAGCGUUCUGUAAGCCUGUGAAGGUGUGCUGUGAGGCAUGCUGGAGGUAUCAGAAGUGCGAAUGCUGACAUAAGUAACGAUAAAGCGGGUGAAAAGCCCGCUCGCCGGAAGACCAAGGGUUCCUGUCCAACGUUAAUCGGGGCAGGGUGAGUCGACCCCUAAGGCGAGGCCGAAAGGCGUAGUCGAUGGGAAACAGGUUAAUAUUCCUGUACUUGGURUUACUGCGAAGGGGGGACGGAGAAGGCUAUGUUGGCCGGGCGACGGUUGUCCCGGUUUAAGCGUGUAGGCUGGUUUUCCAGGCAAAUCCGGAAAAUCAAGGCUGAGGCGUGAUGACGAGGCACUACGGUGCUGAAGCAACAAAUGCCCUGCUUCCAGGAAAAGCCUCUAAGCAUCAGGUAACAUCAAAUCGUACCCCAAACCGACACAGGUGGUCAGGUAGAGAAUACCAAGGCGCUUGAGAGAACUCGGGUGAAGGAACUAGGCAAAAUGGUGCCGUAACUUCGGGAGAAGGCACGCUGAUAUGUAGGUGAAGUCCCUCGCGGAUGGAGCUGAAAUCAGUCGAAGAUACCAGCUGGCUGCAACUGUUUAUUAAAAACACAGCACUGUGCAAACACGAAAGUGGACGUAUACGGUGUGACGCCUGCCCGGUGCCGGAAGGUUAAUUGAUGGGGUYAGCGCAAGCGAAGCUCUUGAUCGAAGCCCCGGUAAACGGCGGCCGUAACUAUAACGGUCCUAAGGUAGCGAAAUUCCUUGUCGGGUAAGUUCCGACCUGCACGAAUGGCGUAAUGAUGGCCAGGCUGUCUCCACCCGAGACUCAGUGAAAUUGAACUCGCUGUGAAGAUGCAGUGUACCCGCGGCAAGACGGAAAGACCCCGUGAACCUUUACUAUAGCUUGACACUGAACAUUGAGCCUUGAUGUGUAGGAUAGGUGGGAGGCUUWGAAGUGUGGACGCCAGUCUGCAUGGAGCCGACCUUGAAAUACCACCCUUUAAUGUUUGAUGUUCUAACGUUGACCCGUAAUCCGGGUUGCGGACAGUGUCUGGUGGGUAGUUUGACUGGGGCGGUCUCCUCCUAAAGAGUAACGGAGGAGCACGAAGGUUGGCUAAUCCUGGUCGGACAUCAGGAGGUUAGUGCAAUGGCAUAAGCCAGCUUGACUGCGAGCGUGACGGCGCGAGCAGGUGCGAAAGCAGGUCAUAGUGAUCCGGUGGUUCUGAAUGGAAGGGCCAUCGCUCAACGGAUAAAAGGUACUCCGGGGAUAACAGGCUGAUACCGCCCAAGAGUUCAUAUCGACGGCGGUGUUUGGCACCUCGAUGUCGGCUCAUCACAUCCUGGGGCUGAAGUAGGUCCCAAGGGUAUGGCUGUUCGCCAUUUAAAGUGGUACGCGAGCUGGGUUUAGAACGUCGUGAGACAGUUCGGUCCCUAUCUGCCGUGGGCGCUGGAGAACUGAGGGGGGCUGCUCCUAGUACGAGAGGACCGGAGUGGACGCAUCACUGGUGUUCGGGUUGUCAUGCCAAUGGCACUGCCCGGUAGCUAAAUGCGGAAGAGAUAAGUGCUGAAAGCAUCUAAGCACGAAACUUGCCCCGAGAUGAGUUCUCCCUGACCCUUUAAGGGUCCUGAAGGAACGUUGAAGACGACGACGUUGAUAGGCCGGGUGUGUAAGCGCAGCGAUGCGUUGAGCUAACCGGUACUAAUGAACCGUGAGGCUUAACC